ACCUUUAGGGUUUCGGGUUGCCGGGGCUUCCAAUGGCCGACGGCCGUAGAAGAGGGGGCCGGGGGCGGCGGAGGACCAGCGGCGGCGAUGGUUCGGCCGGCGGAAGGCGAGGCGGCGCGGGAGUGCCGCCGGUCGGGCAGGGCUAGAGCCCUGGUGGGCGGUGGUGGCGGCGGGGUGAGAAGGCGGCGGCGGCACAACGGCGAGCUUGAUUAGGGUUGGCGGCGGCGGAGGGCGGAGGUGACGAGGCGACGCCGGAGUCGAGGGAGAGGGAGGUGGGGGUUGGCGGGAGAGCGACGCCUUAGAAGCUUCUGCGAGUCAAUCGCGGCGAAUCGCGAUGAAUAGACGCCCCGCCGAAGAGAGCCUUGUAGGCGUCGCGUAGCCAGCCGAGUUCGCCAUGAGGAGGAAGCUGCUGCAGUUCCAGUCCCUUCUCGCGCAGCACGCCCUCCGCGGGAUCCCAAAACCCAAAACCCAGACCCCAACUCCAACCCCACCACCACCGCAUCCUCCACUCCUCCUCGGCUCCGUCACUCGCACCCCCCUCCCCGUCGGCUCACCUCCUAUGGAAUCGCCUCUCCGGGGGCACCGCUUCCUCCCUCCUCCCGAGGAGCGCGGCCGCCGUCGAUGCGUCAGCGCGGACCGCCGCUUCCCGGUGGUUGGCCGCCGCCCGCAGCGCCGGCUCCCUCGACCUCUUCUCGCUGCAGCGGCGACAGGAGGACCAGGGAUCGGGGUGGCAAUUCGCGUCGACCACCUUUCUCCAAGUCGCGCCCUGGGCGUACUGGACGCAGUCCCCCGAAGGGAUGGUGUUGACACUCGUCAGCGUGAAUGUGGGCGUCUUCAUGCUCUGGCGUGUGGCUGAUCUGGGGUUCAUGUGGAGGCAUUUCAUGAUUUCGCUGGACAAUUUCGAAAGCAGACGGUUCCACACCUUGCUCACGAAUGCUUUCAGCCACUUCGACUCUGGUCACCUGAUUUCCAAUAUGAUUGGCCUCUACUUCUUUGGGACAAGUAUUGCGAGGACGUUUGGUCCGGCUUUUCUGUUGGAAUUGUAUGUAGCUGGAGCACUUACUGGAUCAGCAUUCUUCUUGCUAGAGAUGACUUUUCUAGCUCAACGGAAACAGGUUUCUGUUGGGCCGGAUACUUCAAGAGCUCCUGCACUUGGUGCCAGUGCUGCAGUCAAUGCAAUUAUCCUCCUUCAGAUUUUUCUGAAUCCCAAAGGACUGGUCUAUCUUUACUUCCUAAUUCCUGUCCCAGCUGCAUUUUUGGGGGCUGCUUUGAUCGCUUCUGAUUUGUAUAGGGUCAAGAAGGGGCGGGGCCGUAUAUCAGGUUCAGCUCAUUUAGGUGGUGCCCUUGUUGCUGCUCUUGGGUGGGCUCUGCUGAGUCACUGACAUUGAGGGAUGGCUCCUAGAACAUGCAUGCUACUUAUGCCCCGGAUAAUGUGGUAGCGAUAGCGAGUAUCGUCAACAUUGACUGAUUUUUCUGGCAAUGACUGCCCCUAAAACGGAAGAAUCCGAUCCCAGUUGGCAUGUUUCGAAUUCGAGUACAAGAGGCUACGGCUGGCCUAUGGUUGCUGUCUUGCUGAUAGAAAGUGGGAAGAGAAUGGCAAAGACCUGUAUGAAUGGUUCAAGAAAGCGUGUUGAAAGAUUCAUGUACUAGGUACUUAUCUCUGCAACCGCAACUGCUACUGUAGGCAAAAGCUUCCCUCUCUUGUCCAUGCUACUUGUCAUAAGUCAUAACUGAUGUUCGAAGAUCAUCUAAGCAUGAGGCCACGCGCGGCCGCAAACUGUA
Molecule: RNA transcript, 1782 nt
Organism: Panicum virgatum (switchgrass)
Lineage: Eukaryota; Viridiplantae; Streptophyta; Magnoliopsida; Poales; Poaceae
Gene name: RHOMBOID-like protein 12, mitochondrial
Exons: 8
Source: RefSeq, a predicted model, not a curated record